UGUUUCUAGAAUUUAAUUUGAAAUAAUGUCUGCCCACUGAGGACUUAAAGGGCUGCGGUAUAUUGACCGUACAAAGGUAGCAUAAUAAAUAGUUUUUUAAUUGGAGGCUUGAAUGAAGGGUUUUAUGAGAAAUCAGCUGUCUUAAAAAUAGAAUUAGAAUUUAAGGUUUAGGUAAAAAUGCCUGGAUGGGUAAGUGGGACGAGAAGACCCUAUAGAAUUUUAUUUUAAUAAAUUGGUUGGUGGAUUAUAUGAAGAAUUGAUAGUUUGGAUGUAAAUAUUAAAAUUUAGUUGGGGUGAUUUCAAAAUAAUUAACUUUUGAUAUAUUUUAAUUAUAUAUUUAUAUAAAUUUGAUCCAUGAUGUGGUGAUUGUAAGAUAAAUUACCUUAGGGAUAACAGCGUAAUUUAUUCGGAUAGUUCAGAUUGAUGAAUUAGUUUGCGA
Molecule: ribosomal RNA, 439 nt
Filed under: Nocticola sp. 2 MD-2011
Lineage: Eukaryota; Metazoa; Arthropoda; Insecta; Blattodea; Nocticolidae
Description: partial 16S ribosomal RNA
Source: RNAcentral